Bolinopsis microptera is the source of this 1003-nucleotide long non-coding RNA. RefSeq lists it as uncharacterized. The record is from RefSeq and is a predicted model, not a curated record. The transcript is spliced from 10 exons. Lineage: Eukaryota; Metazoa; Ctenophora; Tentaculata; Lobata; Bolinopsidae.
UGCACGUGAGCUUGUAUCUUUCAUUAACAUUGUUCAAUUGCAAUUGGAUACCGCUGGCACUCGCUGACUUUAAAAUGUUCAACCAACCCGCAACCAGAAAAUAGAGAAUGUGAUGAAGAGUAGUGGAAAUGUUUUAAUCUUAAGAUGAACUACAUUCUGACGUCAUGGGAUAAUAAUACAACAGUUCUGUUCGCCCUCUCCGAUCCCUUUGGCUAGGUUAAUUGAUCUGAAAAAGAAUGCCGUCCAGGAUGCAUCAUUCUCAAAUAUGGUUGCUAAAAUAUGGACUUAUGAUCUACGGCAGUGAAUGUGAUGAAGAGUAGUGGAAAUGUUUUAAUCUCAAGAUGAACUACAUUCUGACGUCAUGGGAUAAUAAUACAACAGUUCUGUUCGCCCUCUCCGAUCCCUUUGGCUAGGUGAAUUGAUCUGAAAAAGAAUGCCGUCCAGGAUGCAUCAUUCUCAAAUAUGGUUGCUAAAAUAUGGACUUAUGAUCUACGGCAGUGAAUGUGAUGAAGAGUAGUGGAAAUGUUUUAAUCUCAAGAUGAACUACAUUCUGACGUCAUGGGAUAAUAAUACAACAGUUCUGUUCGCCCUCUCCGAUCCCUUUGGCUAGGUUAAUUGAUCUGAAAAAGAAUGCCGUCCAGGAUGCAUCAUUCUCAAAUAUGGUUGCUAAAAUAUGGACUUAUGAUCUACGGCAGUGAAUGUGAUGAAGAGUAGUGGAAAUGUUUUAAUCUCAAGAUGAACUACAUUCUGACGUCAUGGGAUAAUAAUACAACAGUUCUGUUCGCCCUCUCCGAUCCCUUUGGCUAGGUUAUAAAUGGUAGUACAGUGUAUGGCGACACAUUCUGGCGGUAUUGGAAUACUCCAACAGUUCUGAUUGCUGUCUCCCUCUUGGGGAGUUGCAGUCAAGUUGUACCAAGGAUUUUCUACGAUGAGAUGAGAAUACCUUACCUCUGAUAUUCUCUGAUAUCAUAUCAAAAUGUUAAUCUGUUUUUAUGUGAGACAA